UCCGUGAGUCUGAGAAGCACAGCCA
Molecule: non-coding RNA, 25 nt
Filed under: Mus musculus (house mouse)
Lineage: Eukaryota; Metazoa; Chordata; Mammalia; Rodentia; Muridae
Source: RNAcentral